GAGAUACAUGAAGAAUGUUAAGAAGUGAGAAGAAAGACUUGUUUAUAUUUGGUCCCAAAUGGGAUAAGAACCCAAAACCAUUGCUUUGAGGCAGUGAAUGGCUUGUAUAAAGUUAUUUUGGGUUAAAAUAUGUUAUAAUACAAUGAAUUUGAUUGAUUACAAGUGCUAGAGAUACAUGAAGAAUGUUAAGAAGUGAGAAGAAAGACUUGUUUAUAUUUGGUCCCAAAUGGGAUAAGAACCCAAAACCAUUGCUUUGAGGCAGUGAAUGGCUUGUAUAAAGUUAUUUUGGGUUAGAAUAUGUUAUAAUACAAUGAAUUUGAUUGAUUACAAGUGCUAGAGAUGCAUGAAGAAUGUAUAAAAGUGAGAAGAAAGACUUGUUUAUAUUUGGUCCCAAAUGGGAUAAGAACCCAAAACCAUUGCUUUGAGGCAGUGAAUGGCUUGUAUAAAGUUAUUUUGGGUUAGAAUAUGUUAUAAUACAAUGAAUAUGAUUGAUUACAAGUGCUGGAGAAGCAUGAAUAAUGUUUCGAAGUGAGAAGAAAGACUUGUUGAUAUUUGGUCCCAAAUGGGAUAAGAUCCCAACACCAUUGCUUUGAGGCAGUGAAUGGCUUGUAUAAUGUUAUUUUGGGUUAGAAUAUGUUAUAAUACAAUGAAUUUGAUUGAUUACAAGUGCUAGAGAUGCAUGAAGAAUGUUUCAAAGUGAGAAGAAAUACUUGUUGAUAUUUGGUCCCAAAUGGGAUAAGAUCCCAACACCAUUGCUUUGAGGCAGUGAAUGGCUUGCAUAACGUUAUUUAGGGUGAGAAUAUGUUAUAAUACAAUGAAUAUGAUUGAUUACAAGUGCUGGAGAUGCAUGAAGAAUGUUUAGAAGUGAGAAGAAAGACUUGUUGAUAUUUGGUCCCAAAUGGGAUAAGA
Molecule: long non-coding RNA, 909 nt
Filed under: Capsella rubella
Lineage: Eukaryota; Viridiplantae; Streptophyta; Magnoliopsida; Brassicales; Brassicaceae
Description: long non-coding RNA (CRUB_LNC000035)
Source: RNAcentral